Long non-coding RNA from Amblyraja radiata (thorny skate), 232 nucleotides. RefSeq lists it as uncharacterized. The transcript is spliced from 3 exons. The record is from RefSeq and is a predicted model, not a curated record. Lineage: Eukaryota; Metazoa; Chordata; Chondrichthyes; Rajiformes; Rajidae.
AACGCAAAGUACAUGGGCGUGAUGGAGUGGAUCGGUGACGGCCUGUGACUGGGUCUCUUUUUCCAAGGUGCCUGCAACUUCUGGCAGAGACAAUUAGUUAAUUUUACUUUCUUAUUUCAUCUGUUUGCUUUUUAAUUGAAUGCUGACGAGAUGGGAAGUAGCGGGAGCACCAAACGUGUUUCCUUCGAAGCGGAUGAGAAUGAUCAGAUCAUAGUGGUGAAGGGCAUCAGGU